Molecule: long non-coding RNA, 304 nt
Organism: Sapajus apella (tufted capuchin)
Lineage: Eukaryota; Metazoa; Chordata; Mammalia; Primates; Cebidae
Exons: 3
Source: RefSeq, a predicted model, not a curated record
GCCAGCCUGGGUGACAGAGCAAGAUCCAUCUCCAAAAAAAAAAAAGUAUUUUCUUUAUAAUAAAAUUACGUCUAGUUAUAUGCAUUAUGAAGUAGGAAGAGUUGUCAUCAAGGCUGAUGGACUAUUUUAUGUGAUUAUGAGAUGGGGUAUGCCGUUUCUAGAAUUAACACAGAUUGACCUUAGUAAGAAUGACCACACAAUGCAGACAGGCCUGAUGGGGAUUCAUUCCUAUACUCUCCCCUGUAAAAUCCGCAUGGCUUGGAGCCUCAGUUGAUGCCUUAGAGCAGCCAUCAGCAAACUUUUU